AGUCAUUUCAUGUUGGUAUUUAAGUAAGCAUCUUUAAGUACUUUGUUGAUACAUAGCACAAAAACAAUGUUAACACAGCCUGGUUCACUACUGGGUUUGUCUUUAGGCAAGGUCAGUGCCUGAAGUUGUAUAAUAGCAAACUUUUUGUUUACUGAUUAUUGGGAGUUGUUAAUAUUUUAUUCUUUUGCCAGAGCAUUGUUUUAUUCUGUGAAAUGUCUAUAUGUGAACAUUAUUUGCCUAAAUAUAUUUACAGUAAUAAAAUAAUAAUUUAAAAUACUUUUGUUCCAGUUGAGCUAAACUAGAGUUUGAUUUUUAUUAUUGAAGCAAAUCAGCAGUGAUUAGGCAGUGAGUUUUUAGGCAGUGUUCAGGCGGUAAGUAUUUAGGCAGUGUUCAGGCGGUAUGUAUUUAGGCAGUGUUCAGGCGGUGAGUAUUUAGGCAAUGUUUAGGCAGUGAAUUUUUAGGCAAUGUUCAGGUGGUGAGUAUUUAGGCAAUGUUUAGGCAGUGAGUUUUUAGGCAGUGUUCAGGUGGUGAGUAUUUAGACAGUGUUUAGGCAGUGAGUUUUUAGGCAGUGUUCAGGCAGUGAGUAUUUAGGCAGUGUUUAGGCAGUGAGUAUUUAGGCAGUGUUCAGGCAAUGAGUUUUUAGGCAGUGUUCAGGUGGUGAGUAUUUAGGCAGUGUUCAGGUGGUGAGUAUUUAGGCAGUGUUUAGGCAGUGUUUAGGCAGUGUUUAGGCAGUCAGUUUUUAGGCAGUGUUUUAGGCAGGGUUUAGGCAGUGUUCAGGUGGUGAGUAUUUAAGCAGUGUUUAGGCAGUCAGUUUUUAGGCAGUGUUUAGGCAGUGUUCAGGCAGUGAGUUUUUAGACAGUGUUCAGGUGGUGAGUUUUUAGGCAGUGUUUUUAGGCAGUUUUUUGGCAGUGUUUAGGCAGUGUUUAGGCAGUCCAUUUUUAGGCAGUGUUUAGGCAGUCAGUUUUUAGGCAGUGUUCAUGUAGUGAGUAUUUAGGCAGUGUUUAAGCAGUGAGUUUUUAGGCAGUGUUCAGGUGGUGAGUAUUUAGGCAAUGUUCAGGCAGUGAGUUUUUAGGCAGUGUUCAGGUGGUGAGUAUUUAGGCAGUGUUCAGGCAAUGGGUUUUUAGGCAGUGUUCAGGCAGUGAGUUUUUAGGCAGUGUUCAGGUGGUGAGUAUUUAGGCAUUGUUAAGGCAGUCAGUUUUUAGGCAGUGUUUAGGCAGUGUUCAGGCAGUGAGUAUUUAGGCAGUGUUUAAGCAUUGAGUUUUUAGGCAGUGUUCAGGUGGUGAGUAUUUAGGCAAUGUUCAGGCAGGGAGUUUUUAGGCAGUGUUCAGGUGGUGAGUAUUUAGGCAGUGUUUAGGCAGUGUUUAGGCAGUGUUUAGGCAGUGAGUUUUUAGGCAGUGUUCAGGUGGUGAGUUUUUAGGCAAUGUUUUUAGGCAGUGUUUUGGCAGUAUUUAGGCAGUGUUUAGGCAGUCAGUUUUUAGGCAGUGUUUUUAGGCAGUGUUUAGGUAGUGUUUAGGCAGUGUUUAGGCAGUGAGUUUUUAGACAGUGUUCAGGUGGUGAAUUUUUAGACAGUGUUUUUAGGCAGAGUUUUGGCAGUGUUUAGGCAGUCAAUUUUUAGGCAGUGUUUAGGCAGUCAGUUUUUUGACAGUGUUUUUAGGCAGUGAGUUUUUAGGCAGUGUUUAGGCAGUGUUUGUAGGCAGUGUUUACACUCUGAACCAUUGUGUUUCCUGUGUGUUCUAUCAAAACCUUUUGAUACAAAGCAGUUUUCUGGACAAAAUAAUUAUUUAUAAUUGUAUUCAAUUACAAAUCAUUACAUAAUAAUUUUAUUUAAAUUUAAGCAAAAAUGUGUUCACCCAAAUAAGACUGCAGGUCCUUUAUCCUAUUUUUUUUAUCUACUAGAAAUACAUGCAGUUUUAUUAUACACUGUAAAUUCCCACUAAUUUUUUUUUACCAACUAUUAAACUGUAUAUAUGAUAUACUUAUCAUAUAGGCUCAGUGGGAGGAAAAAAAAUCUAAGGCUGGCAUGGUGGAUCAGUGGAUAGUAUUGCAGCCUCACAGCUCUAGCAUCUGUGGUUUGAUCCCUAGCUCAGGUUUCUGUCUGUGUGGAGUUUUGUGUGUUCUACCCAUAUCUGUGUGUGUUUCUUCCAUGUUCUUUGGUUUCCUCCCACUUCCUGUGUGUGUGUGUAUGUAUGUGUGUGUGUGUGUGUGUGUGUGUGUGUGUGUGUGUGUGUGUGUGUUUGUGUGUAUGUUUGCAUGGUACCCUGCGAUGGACUGGCAUCCCAUCCAUGUCACCAUGCAUCCAGCAUUUUCUGGAUUGGCUUC
Molecule: long non-coding RNA, 2319 nt
Organism: Ictalurus punctatus (channel catfish)
Lineage: Eukaryota; Metazoa; Chordata; Actinopteri; Siluriformes; Ictaluridae
Source: Ensembl